Molecule: long non-coding RNA, 87 nt
Organism: Sinocyclocheilus anshuiensis
Lineage: Eukaryota; Metazoa; Chordata; Actinopteri; Cypriniformes; Cyprinidae
Exons: 3
Source: RefSeq, a predicted model, not a curated record
UCAGACACUCUGGUCAUAUUCAGUUUCUUGCACAGACCGAUCGUUUCACUUCAUAAGACCUCAAUGUGUUAUCAGGAGCCACUGGUA